CGCGUAGGCGGCCACGUAAGUCGAAGGUGAAAUCCCCGGGCUCAACCUGGGAAUUGCCUUCGAUACUGCAUGGCUAGAGUCCAGGAGGGGGUAGCGGAAUUCCCAGUGUAGCGGUGAAAUGCGUAGAUAUUGGGAGGACACCGGUGGCGAAGGCGGCUACCUGGACUGGUACUGACGCUGAGGCGCGAAAGCGUGGGGAGCAAACA
Molecule: ribosomal RNA, 206 nt
Filed under: uncultured bacterium
Lineage: Bacteria
Description: partial 16S ribosomal RNA
Rfam family: Bacterial small subunit ribosomal RNA
Source: RNAcentral